Molecule: long non-coding RNA, 673 nt
Organism: Quercus lobata
Lineage: Eukaryota; Viridiplantae; Streptophyta; Magnoliopsida; Fagales; Fagaceae
Exons: 3
Source: RefSeq, a predicted model, not a curated record
AAAAAUUUGGGGUUUCUUUACACUCACAAAUCAAACCAUCGGACUGCCGAGGCUCACCCAAACACUCUCUAACUAAUUCUCCCUCACUCUCGUCUCCGUACCCUCGCCGCUCGGACUGCCGAGCCACCACCGUCCUCCCCGCCGCGGGUCCAACAGUCCCCCAACAACCUCUUUCUCCCUCAUUCCCUUCCUCACUCUCCCUCACACUCCGUCGGCCUUGCCUUCUGCCGCCGACACCACCACCUCCAACAACACAGCCACCGCGGCCAUCCUCGGACUCCUUUCCUCCCUCAGCCGCCUGGCACACCCCUGACGUGGUGGAAGGAGACUCCUCCGUGAGUUUAUUGGAGCGUUGCUUGGUAGCGCCACUGGCUGUUUCUUCUUCUUCUAUGCUGAGUCCAGUUAUGAAAGGGCAGUACUGUGCGUUUGGUGCGGUUACCUUGGAGAAAGGCAAGCUUGAUAUGUCCCAGAAGCAAUCCCAGACUAGCCCCGAGGAUGAUACUAGCAGAGAUGAAGAGGAUAACUCAAACAAUAACAAGGAGGUUGAAAACAGCUUGGAGGGUGACUCAGAGGAAGAUUAAUAUAGGUUUUGUCAUAAUUCUAGUUGUUUAAAUUUAAAACAAGGUUUAAUUUCAGGAUUUCUUUGUAUAUUCUAUAUUUUAAAGUUUGAACU